AGGAUGAACGCUGGCGGCGUGCCUAAUACAUGCAAGUCGAGCGAACGGACGAGAAGCUUGCUUCUCUGAUGUUAGCGGCGGACGGGUGAGUAACACGUGGAUAACCUACCUAUAAGACUGGGAUAACUUCGGGAAACCGGAGCUAAUACCGGAUAAUAUUUUGAACCGCAUGGUUUAAAAGUGAAAGACGGUCUUGCUGUCACUUAUAGAUGGAUCCGCGCUGCAUUAGCUAGUUGGUAAGGUAACGGCUUACCAAGGCAACGAUGCAUAGCCGACCUGAGAGGGUGAUCGGCCAGACUGGAACUGAGACACGGUCCAGACUCCUACGGGAGGCAGCAGUAGGGAAUCUUCCGCAAUGGGCGAAAGCCUGACGGAGCAACGCCGCGUGAGUGAUGAAGGUCUUCGGAUCGUAAAACUCUGUUAUUAGGGAAGAACAUAUGUGUAAGUAACUGUGCACAUCUUGACGGUACCUAAUCAGAAAGCCACGGCUAACUACGUGCCAGCAGCCGCGGUAAUACGUAGGUGGCAAGCGUUAUCCGGAAUUAUUGGGCGUAAAGCGC
This 560-nucleotide ribosomal RNA is filed under the name Staphylococcus aureus. RNAcentral's name for it is "bacterial SSU rRNA". It matches the Rfam family "Bacterial small subunit ribosomal RNA", at positions 26 to 568 of the family's 1533-position model. Lineage: Bacteria; Bacillati; Bacillota; Bacilli; Caryophanales; Staphylococcaceae. The record is from RNAcentral.